CUCCCAGAAUCCAGCUGAGCGCCUGGCGGCUCGCAGCGUGAGCUCGGUGGCGGUUUCCAAAGCUCGGUGUCAGAAAGCUGGUCAGCGUUUCAAAGGAGUGGAGAAGGAGCCAAUAACCGCUGUUUGUGCUGGCGUACGGAGAGAGGGAUUCAGCGAGGGCGCCAAGUGACGACGGGGUAACCUCAAAAAGAAGAAGAAGAAGGAAAGAAGGAUCAGGUUCUGGAACUUUCUGUCUUUACCAGCAGAUGUUUGAGUGGGCGUUUGAUUUAAAGGGACAUGACACCAUUUACUGACUGUAGACAUAUGACCUGACAGACUCUCUGCUUGUCAGUUUCUUUAACAAAGAGACUAAACACAACUCACCUACUCUCUUCCAGCAGACGCUUGUUUGUAGAGAGACCUCAGGCCAGUCCAUUAUGGACUACAGCGGGGUGCCGCAGCUCAAGGAAGAACAUUUAUGAUCAUUUCUUUAUCAUUUCCUUGAAGUAAUAAUCACCAUAUUAAUCAUUUUACAGACGCGGUAGUUCUUCUGUCUUAGCGUCUCUGAUUGUAUUUCCAUGAAUGAUGUAUAGAUGUACAGAUGUAUAGAUGUACAGAUGUAUAGAUGUACAGAUGUAUAGAUGUACAGAUGUAUAGAUGUUUUUAUGUAUAAAGGUAUAGAUGUAUAGAUGUUCAGAUGUAUAGAUGUACGAUGUAUAGAUGUAUAGAUGUUCAGAUGUAUAGAUGUACAGAUGUAUAGAUGUACAGAUGUAUAGAUGUUUUUAUGUAUAAAGGUAUAGAUGUAUAGAUGUACAGAUGUAUAGAUGUACGAUGUAUAGAUGUAUAGAUGUACGAUGUAUAGAUGUACAGAUGUAUAGAUGAUAGAUAUAUAGAUGUAUAGAUGUACGAUGUAUAGAUGUUUAAAUGUACGUAUAUAGAUAUACAGAUGUAUAGAUGUACGAUGUAUAGAUGUAUAGAUGUACGAUGUAUAGAUGUAUAGAUGUUUAAAUGUACCGUAUAUAGAUAUACAGAUGUAUAGAUGUAUAGAUGUUCAGAUGUAUAGAUGUACGAUGUAUAGAUGUAUAGAUGUUUAAAUGUACCGUAUAUAGAUAUACAGAUGUAUAGAUGUACAAAUGUAUAGAUGUAUAGAUGUACGAUGUAUAGAUGUACAGAUGUAUAGAUUUUCAAUGUGUAGAUGAUAGAUAUAUAGAUGUAUAGAUGUACAUUUGCAUAAAUGUUUGAUGUAUAUCAUAAAUGUUCUUCCUUGAGCUGCGUCACCCCGCUGUAGUCCCUAUUGGACUGGCCUGAGGUCUCACUGUGACCCUAUAUGUCCUGUUGAUGAAGUUAGGUGCUGUUCUGAGCAUUAUUUGUGUCUAUAGAGUGGCGUUUUGGUUGGGGGCGUGGCUCUCUGUAUUUCUAUCCUGCGGUCGUUACUAAAGUUGGUAUAACUAGAGAAGUAAGUGGUCGACAACAUUCAUCUCUGGAGGGGGGCGGGGUCUAACUCGGGGUUACGGUGUGUUUGACCCUAAAUUAAUUUAACGUCAGAAUAUCCCUUUAACUCUGAAGAAAACUGCAAACUGUAACUUCAUGUGUGUGUGUGUGUGUGUGCGCGUGUGUGUGUGUGUGUUUCUCACCGUGUCCCAGGUGGUGACGGAUCUCAGCAGCAGACGGAUCGAUGGUCGGGGGGGGGUGCAGAGGCAGGGGUCGCUCGGUCCCCAGGGGUCCCCUCGAUGACAUCUCCCGCCGCAGCUCGCCGGCCGGCCGCCAGCUCGGGUCAGCCGUCCCAGCAGGCCGUUGGCUCUGGCAGCAGUUACCAAGGUGACAGCAUGUCAGCGCGGCCCCGCAGCGCCGGCUGAGGGGAGGGGGGGGGCCCGAUGCAUCACCGGCUCUGAUGGGUUUGUCAAUACCGCUUAGAUCCACGGGGAGCCGGGCCUGAAAUGACACACACACACACACACACACACACACACACACACACACACACACACACACACACACACACACACACACA
This 1990-nucleotide long non-coding RNA is filed under the name Xyrichtys novacula (pearly razorfish). Lineage: Eukaryota; Metazoa; Chordata; Actinopteri; Labriformes; Labridae. The record is from RNAcentral.